GACGAACGCUGGCGGCGUGCCUAAUACAUGCAAGUCGAGCGGACUUUCAAGAAGCUUGCUUUUUGAAAGUUAGCGGCGGACGGGUGAGUAACACGUGGGCAACCUGCCUGCAAGACGGGGAUAACUCCGGGAAACCGGGGCUAAUACCGGAUAAUAUCUUCCUUCGCAUGAAGGAAGGUUGAAAGGCGGCGCAAGCUGCCGCUUGCAGAUGGGCCCGCGGCGCAUUAGCUAGUUGGUGAGGUAACGGCUCACCAAGGCGACGAUGCGUAGCCGACCUGAGAGGGUGAUCGGCCACACUGGGACUGAGACACGGCCCAGACUCCUACGGGAGGCAGCAGGAGGGAAUCUUCCGCAAUGGACGAAAGUCUGACGGAGCAACGCCGCGUGAGCGAAGAAGGGCUUCGGAUCGUAAAGCUCUGUUGUCAGGGAAGAACAAGUACCGUUCGAACAGGGCGGUACCUUGACGGUACCUGACCAGAAAGCCACGGCUAACUACGUG
This 499-nucleotide ribosomal RNA is filed under the name uncultured bacterium. RNAcentral describes it as "partial 16S ribosomal RNA". It matches the Rfam family "Bacterial small subunit ribosomal RNA", at positions 28 to 507 of the family's 1533-position model. The record is from RNAcentral.